CCCCUUGGCCGCCGCUGCGGUCGUCGGCUGGCUCGGGGCGGAAAAUGGUGCCGCGGCGGCGCUCCUCUCGGCCUCGGGUGGUGCCGUGCGGGCUGCGGGGUGGCACCUACGUACAGGUACAGUGCGGACGGAGGCUCGGUAGGUGGCUCCCCUGGCUGAGCAUUCAGAUGUGCACCCUUUGCCUGCCUUUAGAUGCAUUUUGGGUCGCACUGUAUGCUACUACAACGUUUUAUAUUUCUGAACAAGAACGUUUUUACCUUGCUUGUUGGGAACCUCAUUGGAGGCCAUCCGAUCCGAGGAGAGCCGCCUGCUUUUCCUAUGCUCUCGGACGACGGCGGUGCGGUGGACGGGGAGGGGCAGGCAGCCGCGCGCUGUUGGACAAACACGGCGGAGGGGAAAGACGGCCGGACGGGUCAGCGAUGGCCCCGUCGCCGACGGAAAUAGCGACGGUCAGCUGACAAGAGGCUCGCCUACAAGGCAGGGGGCGACAAUGGCGGUGGACGAGCAGGGCACAGAGACAACUACUACUACGUCUCUGAACUACUACUCGCGACGGACAAUGGAUCAACCCCACUCUGGACCUUCCGCAUUUCCUUUCUCGGAUUCCUUGCUUGCGGAGUCGAGUGGCGAGACAACCUGAAUUCUACGAAAGCCGAAUUCGGUGCCUUCCUUUUUCCCCAAAUUCCUAACUUGCCGACUUGAGUUGAGGAAGCAACCUGAAAUUUAAGAAAAAAGCGGACGCCGGGUUUCCUGGUGCCCCUGUUUUUGAGUCCUUGCUGCCUCGUGUUUAAAUAAAUUCUAAUGCCUGCAAAUACUCAACAUUCUUGGCUCCAAAGGCAGAAUCAAAACCGACAGCA
Molecule: long non-coding RNA, 857 nt
Organism: Triticum dicoccoides
Lineage: Eukaryota; Viridiplantae; Streptophyta; Magnoliopsida; Poales; Poaceae
Exons: 3
Source: RefSeq, a predicted model, not a curated record